RNAcentral lists this long non-coding RNA (200 nucleotides) under Capsicum annuum. Its description in RNAcentral is "long non-coding RNA (CANN_LNC005553)". The record is from RNAcentral. Lineage: Eukaryota; Viridiplantae; Streptophyta; Magnoliopsida; Solanales; Solanaceae.
UUUUCUCUUGAGAUAUAAAUCCUAAAAUAGUAUGCUAGCUUAAAAUUGAAGCUUCUGGGUGCUUAGGAGGCUAUAUUAACAUUUAUUUUUGUGAUUAUCAUCCGAAUUAAGGUAAGAACCCUUUCCUUGCUGAGAUUUCUUGAUUUAUUUCUCAAAACUCCCCAAAACCUUUAGAGCUUGACUUUAACCCAAAAUUAGCU